UGGGGAAUAUUGGACAAUGGGCGAAAGCCUGAUCCAGCAAUGCCGCGUGAGUGAUGAAGGCCUUAGGGUUGUAAAGCUCUUUUACCAGGGAUGAUAAUGACAGUACCUGGAGAAUAAGCUCCGGCUAACUCCGUGCCAGCAGCCGCGGUAAUACGGAGGGAGCUAGCGUUGUUCGGAUUUACUGGGCGUAAAGGGCGCGUAGGCGGCAUGACAAGUCACUUGUGAAAUCUCUGGGCUUAACCCCAGAACGGCCAAGUGAUACUGUCGCGCUAGAGUGCAGAAGGGGCAAUCGGAAUUCUUGGUGUAGCGGUGAAAUGCGUAGAUAUCAAGAGGAACACCAAAGGCGAAGGCAGCGCACUGGCCAAAAUCUGACGCUCACACACGAAAGCUAGGGUAGCGAAGAGGAUUAGAUACCCAUGUAGUCCCUGAGCGGGCUGGCAAGGCGCAU
RNAcentral lists this ribosomal RNA (448 nucleotides) under uncultured bacterium. RNAcentral's name for it is "bacterial SSU rRNA". It matches the Rfam family "Bacterial small subunit ribosomal RNA", at positions 355 to 825 of the family's 1533-position model. The record is from RNAcentral.